CGCAGCUCCAGCCGCUGCCGCUCCAUCAUCUCGGGCUCCGACUCGAGCGCGUCGAAGACCGCGGCGCCCACCAGCAGCAUUGUUCGCACCAGCCAAGACGGGGAGGCAGCCUGCCCACUGGGAGAUGCGUCGGUAAGGAAAAUGCAGUACGAGUGUACCAGGGAGUGUCCCUCAGUCAACAAGAGGAAGAAAACCCGACCGUACACAACGACACGGUUCAUGCCAGCAUCAUGGCCAGCCUGGAUUAUGGAUGGAUGGAGAGACGACAGCCUCGACUCCAUCACACGUGUGCAUGCACACACACCUGGAGCAGCAGGAAGAGCAUUGGAGGAACCUGAGUUUUCAUUCCAGCUCCACUACUGACCCCGGGCCUCAGUCUCCUCAUCUCUAAGGGGCGUGGUUGGACCGGCCGUCUUCUAAGACCCCUUCCCAGCACAUUCUCUGGAGCAGCUGGGGCCCGCUCCCUUUGCUUAUUUUCCUCUUCCUCCCUCACCCCUGCUUCUCAGGGCCCUGCCUGUCCCCCCAGAACUUCUCUGACUCCCGCCAGGCCUGGACAGCAGUGGGUGGGGUGGGGGGAGCAUGCAUUCUGGCUGGGGGAGGCUGGGGCUGCUUCCGCGGUCGCUUCAGCUUCGCUCCAGAGGCGGUCCGUGUGGAACCCCGCAGGAGGCCUGCACGCACUGCAGCUGCUCCCAGAGUCCACUUCCCCUUCCCCCUUCCCCUUCAGCCCACCCGUCCGGCAUCUGAGAACAGGUUGUUCUCAGCCACUGGAAAAGCCAGGGGUUUUAUUUUAUUUUUUUUAGUUUCAGGUUCCCCUCAGCCUGUCACGUGGUUCCAAUCAGAACCCUCAUUCCCGUUGCUUUCAGAACCCGGGCCCUGGGACUGGCCUUCAGGCCCCUUGCAAGCCUUCUCCCUGCCCCUCUCCAGGCUGGCUUCGAGGUCUGCUCGCCCUGCCCCUCUGGGCUUUGGGAGCACUUGUUCAGGUCCCCAAACCCACUGUGUUUCUUCUGUCUUGGCCCCCAUGGAAUAUCUAUCUCUGUCUGGCUCCUGGCUCUGCCUCACUUACAGCUGCUCCUCUGACGGUCCCUUCCUCCAGGAAGUCCUCCUGGACCCGAGGAGAUUAGGCGCCUCAUGGUCCUCUCAUCCCAACACCACCACCACAAAGAGACCCGCUGUGCCACAAGAACUGGAUGUCUGUCUGUCCCACUAGACUGUAAGCUCAGGAGGGCAGGGACAGAUCAGUGUGUCUCUUCGGCUCAGUGCCGUCUCGGCAGGACCUCCGUGGUGACUGGGGCUGCAAAGGUCCCGAGGAGCAUAUGAGUGAAUGGCAUCUAAAACUGCCCUAAGAGACACCUGAAACCAGCCUCAGCACCGGGCGUCAGAUCGGGGCAUUGCAUUCCCUCAGCCAGCUUCACUCCUCUCUGGGUGGAUGGCUGGCCUCCCCUAAAGCUCUCCCCUUUCCCCUCGUGACUCUGCAGAUUCUCAAAACCGCAAGUCUCUUUUUAAACUUAUCUCUGAUCUGCCAACAUUCGUGGCCCAAUCAAUCAGCAGAGCUCAGACCCACGUUUCGGUCCUUCCCGCCUUCUUCUGACACGUCCAGGCAUUUCCACGCCUUGAUGGCCGCAGCCAGUUGCGAUUACUCAGGG
Phyllostomus hastatus (greater spear-nosed bat) is the source of this 1643-nucleotide long non-coding RNA. RefSeq lists it as uncharacterized. Lineage: Eukaryota; Metazoa; Chordata; Mammalia; Chiroptera; Phyllostomidae. The transcript has 3 exons. The record is from RefSeq and is a predicted model, not a curated record.